Molecule: transfer RNA, 72 nt
Filed under: Ornithorhynchus anatinus (platypus)
Lineage: Eukaryota; Metazoa; Chordata; Mammalia; Monotremata; Ornithorhynchidae
Rfam family: tRNA
About the family: Transfer RNA (tRNA) molecules are approximately 80 nucleotides in length.
Source: Rfam by way of RNAcentral
AGCAGUGUGGCUUAGUGGUAAGAGCAUGGGCUUGGGAGUCAGAGGUUGUGGGUUCUAAUCCUGGCUCUGCUA